UUGUCGCUUGUUGUCGCUAAAAUAAUUCUUGUUGUCGCUUGUUGACGCUUGUUGUCGCUUCUUGACGCUUGUUGUCGCUAAUUAGUGAGACCCGUUCAGGUUGCCACUCGCACUGGCGGAGAUUAGCACCAGUUUAAACAUAAAUCCUGCCUAAACCACGGGAUGACAGUUUCGUAGAAAUGACAUGGGUGAAUACCAUGGAGAUGGUGUCCCAUUUAAGUUGGAAACAAGAUAAAAAGGUUUGAUCAUAUUAAAUUUAAGUCAUUAGAAAUCUGGCUAUCAAAAACUAAAGGGACAUAACUAAAUUCAAUAACCGAAUAAGAGUUUAAAGUUACAGAAACCAUGUGAUGUUGUACUUGCAUUGGACUAAAUAACAAUGAAAGUAUGUAUUUAUCAAAUAUAAUGCUAUUAUUUUCAAAAGAAUAUGUAAUGGAGUAGAACGGAAACUAUAAAUGUUAAUAAAGGGGGCGGAUCAAAAGUUUUUAAAGUGUUUUAAAAUCCAGGACAACUGAACUCAACUCCAUAGGCAAAUCCAGGAGGGCCCCCCUUUCAUGGGAAAAAUUUGGUUGAUUAUAUAGGGAAUCAUUGAAGCAUGACUGGUGUAGGCCCCCCUUAGGUCAGUCAGCGCCCCCCUCCCUUAGGAAAAGUUCUGGAUCCGCCACUGCACUCAGGCCAACCUUAAAAAUAUGUUUGUUUGCAGUUUUCCGACUGUACCUUCAGACUGAAGGGUCGGUAGGUAGGAAAAAUAUUUUAUUUUAUCAGCCAAAAUACAGUUUAAACAAGCAGUUACACUAAAAACCAAGUUUCUUGUGAAGAAAAAAAAAAACAUUUUAAAACAACAAACACUGGACAUGCUGAAAACCAACAUCAAAUGAACAGGCAUUUUCAGAUAAAAAAACUUUUUAACCAAAACUGAAACUUUAACGUAGUGUCAUUAUCCAAUUUAUGAUAUAAAAUAUGGUAUAAUUAUUAAAUACUGGAACACUUAUAAACAAGGAAUGUCAUUAUGACUGGAACUGUUUUAAAGAAAUAUAUUCAGACAUGUAUGCUUUUUGACUAGAAUGUUUUCAUGAGUAGAGUAUUUUCGUCAGAAAAUAUAGAUAUUAAAGAUUUAUAAGACCAUGUAUUAAAGUGUGUAUUUUUAAUAAAAAAAAUAACCAUUGAAUCUUCCUCAAUUGAAAAAAAGGUAACUUGAAAAAAAGUAUUAAGACAUUCGACUGUUUUUCAUAUUUCUAACAUAUUUUAUAAUAUGUGAUAAGGACAUUUAGGUUAUAUUUUUGCCAGGCUUUAAUGAAAACCAAAGAAAUUAAAGUUUGGGGUGAAAUCCAUAGCACCCCAUUAAAAGUAAAUGGUCUGUACUGAAAAUGUUUUUUUAAUGCAUAAAAAAAUUGGCAGCAUAGCUCCUAAGGACAUGUUUAAUUGAUUUCACACAGGCAACACUGUUUUGGGUAUAUUUAAUAUUGUAAGAGAAGAGAAUAAUGCAAUGAGUGGGGCAGCCCCCCUUAUCCUAAAGGAGCAUACUCUCCAUAGGCAAAGGGUUGCUGGCAUGGAUGGCCCCCUUUCCGAUGUGGGUUUCAACAAAUUUGGUAUGAUGUCGAAAUUAUUACUGGGAGUAUCAGAUCUGUAAGACAUGGAUCGUGUCUGGAUGUAGGCCCCCCUAAUAGGUCUUAAAAUUCAGUCGGGAGGAUUUUCAAGGGUCGGUCGGUAAACUGCAAACAAACAAUAUUUUAAUUUAAGCCUCAGUCAUUGCUUAAUCGCCCCAGACCAACUCUUACAUGUAAUACUCUCUACCAACUUUCAUUACUUUCUACCAAUUUGCUUCACUCAUGUUUUUCUUCUGUUCUGUUAUAAGUCAGAGUCUGCAAUAGACCACAUACUUUCAAGUUUUUGCAUUUCCAUCAAAAACUGGUUUUGGUGAAAAUCAUUUCUGCGUUUAGGGGCAUUACCACUUUUGUCCCUGGUUGAACGAGUGGUUGAAAAAAUAGGAUGCUAUAUUGCAUAAAUAAUUUGGCAAAUUAAAUUCUUAUAAUAUGCACUGCUGUCAUUGGGGUAUUUGAUCCAGUACUUAUGGAACAAAUAUUAUUUCUAGGUCAUCCACACAGGUACUUGUUUCUAUCCAUGGGAAGGUCGACUAUCCAUAUAAAUAGAAGCUUCUAUUUACAUGGAUAGUCGACCUUCCCAUGCAUAGAAACAAGCGUCUGUGGUCCUCCAGCUGCAUAAAUUUAAUGAAGAUCGCAAUGACGCAUAAUGCACUUUUCUAGCGCAGGCAUACAGGCGAUCCUCUCUCUAGUAAAUGAAGACAAAAAGGUGCCCAUAAUGGAACUUUUCUGGUGUAAAACUUAACUUGAAAGUGGUCUUUUGCGUGUUAUUGAGUCUUAAACAAAAAAACAACACUACUUUGGCCAAUAACAAUGAUUAAAAAAGUUAAAGUCUGGGGACCUUGAUGGUACGUAUUUACAUAAAAAUCAGUAAGUAUAUAUAUUUACUAGGGAUGAUAACUCGCUCGUAAGGCCUAUUACUUAAGUACAAUGUACAAUUUUAGGUAAAACUCAGAUACUCAUUUGCCUUCUAUAUUACUAAAUUCAAUCAUUGUCACAUUGCAUCCUAUUGUAGUAUUUUAAUCAGCAUGACUUGAUGACUUUAUGAGAUGACAAUACAAAUACUAAAAAUCUAGACUUAAAAUAAGGCGUACAUAUACAUGUAGGUACAGCUUUCAAUUUGAUUGCUGGCAUGAUGUAAAAAACAGUGAAUCAAAGAUUAUAUCAACAUUAUUUAUAACUAAUAUAGGACAAUGCUGUUGAUUAAAAAUUACUCCAUUCCAGGCCCUUUUUUUCUUUCUAAAUAAUUAAUAUUACCAAUAAUAAGUUCCAGGUCAACAGGUUCAAACAGAAAGAUUUCGAAAGCAGAGAAAACUGUGCAUCUUAUAAUCAGCAUGACUAUUCAUACUUUAUCAGAUGACAAUACCAAUAAUAAAAAUCCAGGCUAAAAUAAGUCUUACACAUAGUUAUAUACUUUAAUUCAGUUAAGGACCCGCAAUAUCACAGACCUGUGUGUUCUAGUAUAUAUAUAUAUAUAUAUAUAUAGAAGAUGCUUUAUUUCCAUAAAAUGGGCUCACAAGGAGAAUUAUAUAAUAUUAUAAUAUUAUUAUUUUACAAAUAUAAUAAACAAUACAGUAUACAAUGUACAUAGCACUUUACAAACACAAAUAAGAAACAACAGUUUUCAUAUAUAUAUAUAUUAUUAUGUAUAUAUAUAGGAGUAUACAUGUACAUAAAACCUUUGUAUCAGACACACCUCUAAAAAGUAACAAAAAAGAAUACUGUGAGUAGGCUGAAUAUAUCUAGCUGAACUGCAGGAGGCACCAAGGGACGGUGCUAUAUGGCAUGGUGGGUGCUUCUUAAAAUGUGUAUCAGGACAUUAAUGAUAUGGUAAGAUUAUAUAUUGUAAGAAGUUGCACAUAAAGUUCUGGUAUGUCAUUCCUCGGCCUGUGCAAGGGAGUCGUACUAUUUAAAGUGACACAACUGCAAGAGGCACCAAGGGACAAAGCAUUUAACAUGCCAAAGUGCCAUAUACGAAAAAGAUAAAAUUACCAGUUUAUCAAAAAUUCACUAACAGAAAGGUAAUACAUGUAAACUUAUACCGAUCCUAACCCCCAGCCAACCUAAUAAGAGCUAGUGCAUUAGUGCAGAAGCUGAUUUAAAUAUUUAUCUUUCAAGUUAUAUUUUGUCUUCAUCACUAACUCAUAGACAGAUAUUAGAUAUCAAGAUCUCUACAUUAAGAGCCACAUAGUUUUUAGCUAGGAAUCAAAUGCAUAAGUUUGGGCAAGUGAGUUAAUAGUUGGAAAUUUAACAAAUUCCUUAUCUUGAGAUGAUGUGCACGAUAUUUUUAUUCAUCUACUCUGGGAGCUGAUAAAGGUUAUGACCCUUAAACUCAUCCAAUCAUCUGCUGAGAUCACUGGCAACCACAUGUUGGUUAAAUUUUUUAUAUGCCCAUCAAAAUUUUGAAGGGACGUAUUAUGGUAUUCAAAUGUCUGUCUCCCGUCCACCCGACCAUCUGUCCAGUAUCCACAUGUUGCACCGUAACUAAAGAACCAUGCACUUAUUCAAAUUUCAUGAAACUUAAUACAGUUGUUUCUUAUGAUGGUCAAAUGGCCAAACGAUCUCUAUACCUUUUGGUGAAAAUAAGAUUUUAACUUUUUAAGUAAUUAGUAACUAAAACAUGGGGGUGUUUUGUUCACAUGUCGCACCGCCGUAUCUCAAAAACAAUUUAUGAUUAUUGUUUUGAACUUUACAACUUUUUAGUUAUAUUAUUCUAAAGAUCUGUACACUUUUUGGUGAUGAUUCAAAUUUUUUUUUAUAGUUGUUGAGUUUUUUGUAAAAAAAAAAAAAAUAGGGGGGGAGUGUUCACAUGUCACACUCUAUCUCAAAAACCAUCAAUUAUUAUUUCUUAAAACUUUACACACUUCUUAGUUAUAUUAAUAUAAAGAUCUGUAUUCUUUUUUAUGCCACACCUACAAUAGUAGAGGGGCAUUAUGUUUUCGUCCGUCCGUUCGUCCGUCUGUCCCGCUCCAGGUUAAAGUUUUUGGUCAAGGUAGUUUUUGAUGAAGUCGAAGUCCAAUCGACUUCAAACUUAGUACACAUGUUCCCUAUGAUAUGAUCUUUCUAAUUUUAAUGCCAAAUAAGAGUUUUUACCCCAAUUUCACGGUCCACUGAACAUGGAAAAUGAUAGUGCGAGUGGGGCAUUCGUGUACUGAGGAUACAUUCUUGUUGGUGAUGAUUCAAAAAUUUUUUUUUGGAGUUAUUGAGUUUUUGUUUAAAAAAAAAGAAGGGGGUUUUCACAUGUCGCGCUGUAUCUCAGAAACUAUUUAUUAUUGCAUAAAACUUCACACUAGACGAUGGGCGUAUCAUGCACUCAUUGUGCAGCUGUUAAUUAAUAAAAUGGGUGCGGAAAGGGAUUAAUUGUCAAAGAAUUAGAGGAAAAUAUAUGUAUUAUAUAGAAAGUUGCCAACUGCUAACAGAAGUUCAAGUUCUGGAUUUAAAAUUAAUUUUUACUUUAAAAGUGGUUGAUGAUUUGUAAUUUAAUCCAGAUGUUUAAAAUCAUCUGAUUAUUGAUUUUUAAGAAUGACUGAUCUUGUACAAUGUAUAUAUCUCUUAUAAUAAUGUGUUCAGUUUUAAACUUUACAUUCUUGAGAAAGUGCUAUAUUAAAUUUCUCUGUUUAGGAAAUGUACAAAGUGACUGUCUAGUUGGUAAAUAAAUUCAUCAUAGAUACCAGGGUUGGAAGUUUGACUUUUUGCCAGAUGCACGUUUCGUCUAUAAAAGACUAAUCAGUGUCAUUCGAUUAAAAAAAGGUUAAAAAAGCCAAAUAAAGUACGAGGUUGACAUUUGAUUCUGUUUAAAAAUUAACUCCUCUAUUUUUACUCAAGAUUUGUUUUGCUACUUGCAUUCUGAUGGGACUGUAAUACUGUGAAAGUACUUUUAUCCGUGGGAAACCAGUUUUCGUGGUUUUCGUGGAUGACUUUAUCCAAUUUCCUUCAAUCUAUACAACUUGUAAUCUUCGUUUAUAUUAUCUUCAAUUUUUUCCUUUUUUUUUUUUAGAAAACUAAAAUCCACGAAGUUAAAAACCAACGAACAUGUAAAUGUUGUUUAAACCCCGAAAAUUGAUACCCACGAAUUAAAGUACUUUCAAAGUAGAAGAAAUUCUAUUUAAUUAUAGUUAAGACCCAAUCUAAGACCUUUUCAGUAAAUAUGUCAUGUGAUAGAUUUUCUAAUUUUGCUAUAGUUUAUUUCAAACCAAAAGCAAUACAUGUACAGCUUAUAGGUAUAUCAUAAAUAUGUAACAUUGUAUAUGGCUGAACAUAUUAGUUUCAAAAUACUCAGUAACAAAUUUGAGACAGAAUAUUUUUGAUAGUCCAUAUAAAACAUUUCCACUCAAAGCAGCAGUUCCAGGCAAAGUUUUUAGACCAACUCUGCCAUUUUCAGUGCAUUUGUGCUUUGAUUUUAACAAAGAUGUAAACAAUAAAACUCAAUGUACUCUAAAACAUAUUUCAUUAACAGCAAAUGUAGCCUAAGAAUGUAACAUAAGAUGCAUAUAAAAUUUAUUAAAAAAUGAUUAACAAAUUGUGCUCAUUUAAUUUAUUUAAACAACAUGAACAUAUGGUGAAAACAAGAUGUUUGUAAUAUUUUGUAAAUUAAGAUUGAUCUGAACAAGAUAACCCCAUGCAUGAUGACCUUUUAAACAUGACUAACCAAUAUAUAGUUAUAUACUUGUAUAUAAAUGAUAAAUUUUUGAUAUAGAGCUUUACCUGUGUAUUUAUGAUGUAAGGGUAUAUCAUAUAGUAUAUAAUAUAUAUAAAUGGAUUAAAUGUUUAUUUUGAAUAACAAAUUAUUUAGAUCAAAGAAAGUCAUGUAUAUUUGCAUAAAAUUGUAAACAUAUCUCUUGGUUAACAGCCAAUUUAGAUUAAUUUUCAAGGGACUUAGAAAAAUUUUUACUACUUUUAUUUAAAUAAUAUAUAUUCAUGAUAUAUGUGCCAAGAUAUUAUAUAUUUGAACUUUUAUAAUCAUAAUAAAAAAAAAUAGUGUGCUUAUAUAUAAUAGAUUGUUAGAAAAUUAUUAGAAAUAAUUUCCUGAAAAAAAGUGGAAAAUUUCAAGACCUUAAUGCAGAUAAAAUGUUAAAUGUGUCAAUUCAGUUUCCAGUAUGUGAAAUAUCAAAUGUGGUGCUUAUAUUAUAAAUAUUUAAUAUAUAUCAAAUAGCAAAUCAUGAAAUUAAUGGCCAAAAAUUAAAAGAAAGAGAAAAAUAACCUAAAAUGUUAAGAUUACAGAAACAAAGUACCCAUUUCAGACACUGACAAACAUGUACAUGAUGUACAUGUAGUUAGAUUACUAAGUAAUCAUGUAUUAUGUAUCAAAUACUCUAUUAUUGGCAUCAUAAGUGUACACAUGAUACAUUUGACACAUGAAGUACAAUUUUAUGUGAAUGGCAUACUUGACAAAAGUAGAUUUAGCUAUUUAGUGUUGGUUUAUAUAUCAUUUGACAGUCAUCUCAAAUGAUGAAACAAUAUUACUUUUAUUAACAUAAGGACUCCUUGAUCAUGUUUAAUUUUUAGGUUUAAUAGGAAGUGACCUUGCAGUAUUGCAGUUAUACAAAUUUAUCAAUUAUUGUACUCAUGUACUCAGAACUUUCAACUAAUCAAAAUACUGGAUCAUAAAUGUUGUUCUCCAAGCACUAAGUAAAGUUUUAUGACAGAGAUCCAUGGCUUGAGUUUUUUUAUACAUAUUCAUAUGGAUAAAAAGGGGUUUGUAAACUGCUAAAACAUUAAAAAAGGUAAAUUUUAGGUUAUUUUGUCCUCAUCCUGCAUCUCUUUGUUAUACAAGCAAAAGAUAAUUGAUCUAUUGUUAAGAUUAAAUGUACAGGAAAAUCGUAUCAUUAUAAUUGGAAUUUCCUGUCUUUUUGUACAAUGUUGUAACUGUGCAAUUAUUGAAAAAUUAAAGGAAAAACACAAUGAUGUAAGGAAGUGUCUUUCCCCGUCAGUCGAGUAAUUUAUUGUUACAUUCAUGACUGUAUAAUUAAUUUUGAUAGAUAAUGAUCGAAUGCAUCUAGGUAAGUGAAUUUAUAAACUGCUCCGUAGCUAAAAAAUACACCAAAAAACAUAGUGCAUGGACUGUGACUGACUGACUUAAUAUUCAAGUCAUAUGUUAUUUGUUUUAACAAACCCAUUUUUUUCAGUUUCUGAAAAGUUAGGAACAUUACUGAUUAUAAUUAAGAGAUCAAAUAUUGCACAAAUCAUUUGGCAUAAUUUGUUGAUUCAAUAAAAUAAUAUAGGAAAAGUGUCACAAGUUAAUGAAUAGACAAUGAUAGAUGAGAGAAAGUGAAUAAUAAUUUGAAAUUCUUUUGCGCUGCAAGUUAAAAUAUACUUUCAAUCAAAAUGGGGUACAUAUGCUGGACAUCACAAUGAAAUUGGCAAUACAAGAUAUUUUUGUCGUCACAUUGCACUCCAGUUCUAGAUUUGAUAAACCCAAUAAGAAUUGGCCAGUUUUCAUUGAAUUCUAUAUUUCUUAUAACACUAUUGAUUUGUAACAUCAGCAUGAUUACUAGCACUCAAAAUAAUUUGUCAAUAGCAGAAAAUAUUGUUUAUUCUUAGCAUUACAUUGUUGUAUACUUUGAAAAGGGUAAAUGAUAUGUACAUCAGGGCUACUAUAGAUUUUACUUUUAUGAUUGAUUAGCUUCGGUAUAUAUAUAUAUAUAUAUUGAUUAUUAUAUCAUAAUGAUCAUUUAUAUGAGAGUUGUAAAGAGGGGGUAUGUGUAUUGACGAAAAGGAAAUAGAAAUUAGAAUGGCUAUUUUACAAUGAAUGAAAAAAAUAGAAAAAGCGUCAUGAUCAUUGGUUUUUCAACGAUUCACCUGAAACAAAGUGAAUAAUAAGUUUAACAAGCAUGAAAUCCUGUGAAUUAGAAAUUGAAUUUACCAUGAGCUCUAACAUGCCUAUAGCAUUAAGUAUUUCUUUUAAUAGCUCCAAACAAUACAUACAAUUAUUAUUUUCAUCUAAAAAUGUUUCAGUUAAUUAUUAUGCCUCUGCUGUUGGCGAAGAGGCAAAGAAUGUCAACCUUGACUUUCUGUCUAUCCUUCCUUCUGUCCUAAUUUCCAUUUGCUUGAAGCUUCAACAGGGGCAUUCCUGUCCUCUUACACAUUCUUUUAUUUUUAUCAAUAGUACCCAGCAAUCAAUCAUAUCACAGACUUGUAGAUUUUUUUCUUUAAUGAAUGAUAUAUAUGACUGGCAUCUGAAUUAAAAGCCAUCAUGGUUAUAUAUAUAGGUUCAAAGAUAUAAAAAAAAAUCAUGGUUAUAUAGGGCAAAGCUAAAUUUUCUGUAAAGCAAAUGCUCUCAAAGAUUUUAUGUAUAGUAUUUUAAUUUUAUUUCAGAAAAUCCCAAUGAUUCC
Molecule: long non-coding RNA, 8929 nt
Filed under: Mytilus galloprovincialis (Mediterranean mussel)
Lineage: Eukaryota; Metazoa; Mollusca; Bivalvia; Mytilida; Mytilidae
Source: RNAcentral